AUGGAAAUUACGUUAGGAGAUGCUACAAAAUUGCUUGAUAAUAUUAUGGCUAAUUAUUCUCAAUGGCACACCGAAAGAUCUUCUAGUAAAAAAGUGCAUGCUAUAGAAGAAAUCAAUGUUUUGAGUGAAAAGAUGGAUGAACUUAUGAAGAUGUUUGCUCCUAAAAAUACUCCUCUUGAUCCCAAUGAUAUGCCUUUGUCUACCUUGCUUGAGAAUAAUAAUGAAUCUAUGGAUGUGAAUUUUGUUGGUAGGAAUAGUUUUGGAAACAACGCUUAUAGAGGGAAUUUUAAUCCUAGGCCUUAUCCUAGUAAUCCAUCUAAUAAUUAUGGAAAUUCCUACAACAACUCUUAUGGAAAUUUUAAUAAGAUGCCCUCUAAAUUUGAGAGUAGUGCUAAAGAGUUUAUGAAUUCGCAAAAGAAUUUUAAUGCUUUGCCUGAAGAGAAAUUGCUUGAUGUUGAUGAUUUGGCUAGGAACGUUGAUAGAAGUUCUCUUGAAAUUGAUUCUUUAAAGCUUAUAUCUAUUCCUCCUAAGCAUGAUAUCAAUGAGUCUCUCAAAGCCAUGAGAAUUUCCAUUGAUGAGUGCAAGGAAAGAACCGCUAGGAUGCGUGCUUCUAAAGAUGCCUUUAUUAAAGCGUGUUCUUCCAAUACCUAUGAAAAUCAAUAUGAAGAUCUAAAAGGUAUUGAUGUAUCCCCCAUUAAAUCUUUGUUUUCCAAUAUGAAUCUUGAUGAAACUGAAGAUGAUCUUCCUUUACCUAGAAGGCGUUUUAAGAAUUCAGAGUUUCUAGAUCUUGAUGAUGAAAUUGAUGAAAGUGGGAUUGAAAGAAAUAAAUACCGAGAUGUUGCUAAACCUACUAUUUUGGAUCUCAAGGAAUUUAAUUAUGAAAAUUGCUCUUUGAUUGAUUGUAUUUCCUUGUUGCAAUCCGUGCUAGAUUCUCCUCAUGCUUAUAGUCAAAAUAAGGCCUUUACUGAACACAUUGUUGAUGCCUUGAUGCAAUCUUAUGAAGAAAAACUUGAGUUGAAAGUUUCUAUCCCCAGAAAAAUCUAUGAUGAGUGGGAACCUACUAUUAAAAUUAAAAUUAAAGAUUAUGAGUUUCAUGCUUUGUGUGAUUUGGGUGCUAGUGUCUCCACUAUUCCCAAAACUUUGUGUGAUUUGCUAGAUUUCCGUGAUUUUGAUGAUUGA
Molecule: ribosomal RNA, 1179 nt
Filed under: Triticum aestivum (bread wheat)
Lineage: Eukaryota; Viridiplantae; Streptophyta; Magnoliopsida; Poales; Poaceae
Description: partial small subunit ribosomal RNA
Source: RNAcentral